RNAcentral lists this ribosomal RNA (468 nucleotides) under uncultured bacterium. RNAcentral describes it as "partial 16S ribosomal RNA". It matches the Rfam family "Bacterial small subunit ribosomal RNA", at positions 28 to 507 of the family's 1533-position model. The record is from RNAcentral.
GACGAACGCUGGCGGCGUGCCUAAUACAUGCAAGUCGAACGGACAGACGCUGCUCUUGCGGCGCGCUCGUGUGGCGAAGGGGGGAGUGUCACGCGAGUAACACCCCCCUGUCUUUGUGAGAACAUCACGAAAAUGGGGCUCAUAUCGGGUAGGAUAUCCUGCUGCACGGUGGGGGUUGGUAAGAGUCGGCGGUUGGGGAUCGACUCGCGGCUUAUGCGCUUGUUGGUGGAGUAGUGGCUUACCAAGGCUUUGACGGGUAGCCGGCCUGGGAGGGUGACCGGCCACAAUGGGACUGAGAUACGGACCAGACUCCUACGGGACGCAGCAGUGGGGAAUAUUGCGCAGUGGGCGGAAGCCUGAUGCAGCAGCGCCGCGUGCGGGAUGCCGGCCUUCGGGUUAUAAACCACUUUCGCCUGUGACGAAGCGUGAGUGACGGUAAUGGGUAAAGAAGCACCGGCUAACUACGUG